GUUAUGGGCUGCGGAGGACUAGCCAUUGCGGCUGCUCCCGCCUUAAACUUGCUGCACGACCGCAAGCUAAUGCUAGGUAAUGAAGUGGUGUUUACAUAUAUUUCAGCGACCGUUCAUGGCUUUGUGGCGUUAAAACUGUUGCCACUCGUGGUGAUUUGAUUUUUGACCUCGAAUCAGACAAGGAUACCCGCUGAACUUAA
This 200-nucleotide unclassified non-coding RNA is filed under the name soil metagenome. Its description in RNAcentral is "partial contains internal transcribed spacer 2 and large subunit ribosomal RNA". The record is from RNAcentral.